CGGGUGAGUAACACGUGGAUAACCUACCUAUAAGACUGGGAUAACUUCGGGAAACCGGAGCUAAUACCGGAUAAUAUAUUGAACCGCAUGGUUCAAUAGUGAAAGACGGUUUUGCUGUCACUUAUAGAUGGAUCCGCGCUGCAUUAGCUAGUUGGUAAGGUAACGGCUUACCAAGGCAACGAUGNGUAGCCGACCUGAGAGGGUGAUCGGCCACACUGGAACUGAGACACGGUCCAGACUCCUACGGGAGGCAGCAGAG
This 259-nucleotide ribosomal RNA is filed under the name uncultured Staphylococcus sp. RNAcentral's name for it is "partial 16S ribosomal RNA". It matches the Rfam family "Bacterial small subunit ribosomal RNA", at positions 103 to 354 of the family's 1533-position model. The record is from RNAcentral. Lineage: Bacteria; Bacillati; Bacillota; Bacilli; Caryophanales; Staphylococcaceae.